AUUGAACGCUGGCGGCAGGCCUAACACAUGCAAGUCGAACGGCAGCACGGGAGCAAUCCUGGUGGCGAGUGGCGAACGGGUGAGUAAUAUAUCGGAACGUGCCCGGUCGUGGGGGAUAACGUAGCGAAAGCUACGCUAAUACCGCAUACGAUCUACGGAUGAAAGCGGGGGAGUCGCAAGACCUCGCGCGAUUGGAGCGGCCGAUAUCAGAUUAGGUAGUUGGUGAGGUAAAGGCUCACCAAGCCGACGAUCUGUAGUUGGUCUGAGAGGACGACCAGCCACACUGGAACUGAGACACGGUCCAGACUCCUACGGGAGGGCAGCAGUGGGGGAAUUUUUGGACAAUGGACGCAAGUCUGAUCCAGCCAUUCCGCGUGCAGGAUGAAGGCCCUCGGGUUGUAAACUGCUUUUGUACGGAACGAAAGGUUUAGUCUUAAUUACGAUGAGCUCAUGACGGUACCGUAAGAAUAAGCACCGGCUAACUACGUG
This 489-nucleotide ribosomal RNA is filed under the name uncultured bacterium. RNAcentral's name for it is "bacterial SSU rRNA". It matches the Rfam family "Bacterial small subunit ribosomal RNA", at positions 30 to 507 of the family's 1533-position model. The record is from RNAcentral.